GGGGAUUUAGCUCAGUGGCAUAAAGCUCCUGCCUUGCAAGCAGCAGUCAUGAGUUCAAUCCCUG
This 64-nucleotide transfer RNA is filed under the name Cavia porcellus (domestic guinea pig). It matches the Rfam family "tRNA". From Rfam's summary of the family: Transfer RNA (tRNA) molecules are approximately 80 nucleotides in length. Their secondary structure includes four short double-helical elements and three loops (D, anti-codon, and T loops). Lineage: Eukaryota; Metazoa; Chordata; Mammalia; Rodentia; Caviidae. The record is from Rfam by way of RNAcentral.